AGAACGAACGCUGGCGGCAGGCUUAACACAUGCAAGUCGAACGCACCGCAAGGUGAGUGGCAGACGGGUGAGUAACGCGUGGGAAUCUACCCAACCCUUCGGAAUAGCUCCGGGAAACUGGAAUUAAUACCGAGUACGCCCUACGGGGGAAAGAUUUAUCGGGGUUGGAUGAGCCCGCGUUGGAUUAGCUAGUUGGUGGGGUAAUGGCCUACCAAGGCGACGAUCCAUAGCUGGUCUGAGAGGAUGAUCAGCCACACUGGGACUGAGACACGGCCCAGACCCCUACGGGAGGCAGCAGUGGGGAAUAUUGGACAAUGGGCGCAAGCCUGAUCCAGCCAUGCCGCGUGAGUGAUGAAGGCCCUAGGGUUGUAAAGCUCUUCAGUGGGAAGAUAAUGACGGUACCCACAGAAGAAGCCCGGACUAACUUCGUGCCAGCAGCC
This 440-nucleotide ribosomal RNA is filed under the name uncultured soil bacterium. Its description in RNAcentral is "bacterial SSU rRNA". It matches the Rfam family "Bacterial small subunit ribosomal RNA", at positions 26 to 516 of the family's 1533-position model. The record is from RNAcentral.